Trachymyrmex septentrionalis is the source of this 411-nucleotide long non-coding RNA. RefSeq lists it as uncharacterized. The transcript has 3 exons. The record is from RefSeq and is a predicted model, not a curated record. Lineage: Eukaryota; Metazoa; Arthropoda; Insecta; Hymenoptera; Formicidae.
CAACAGGCAUUUCCCAUUUGUACGCCCGCUUGUCCUAUGUGAAUGGAUAUACAUUCCCGCUGCGAAUAAACGAGUAAAGUCUGUCGAGCGAGCUUAACAAGCCUUAACGAGACUGAGCAAAGGAAUACGAGCUAUGCUUAACAAGGGAUGAUUACCGGUGGCCCAGACAUUGUCGACUAAAGCAAUGUCUUUAUCUGUCAACAAGGUCUGGUAGAAAAAUGCCACCUUGACCUAAUGUGUCCCCCAUGGAUAAUUCAGUCGUACCCUAAAAGUUGACACACUGUAACCAUAGCAGCUUAAUCGAAUAUCAAACUGCAUACUCGCAUAUGACGCGAUUGCAUCGAUUCAAUCAAAAAGAUUUCACUGUGAUCUUACAAUUAAUAGACGUAAGAGACAUCUCAAAUCUGUCAU